This 509-nucleotide ribosomal RNA is filed under the name uncultured bacterium. RNAcentral describes it as "partial 16S ribosomal RNA". It matches the Rfam family "Bacterial small subunit ribosomal RNA", at positions 28 to 523 of the family's 1533-position model. The record is from RNAcentral.
GACGAACGCUGGCGGCGUGCUUAACACAUGCAAGUGGAGCGACGAAGCGGACUUCGGUCCGUGGCAGAGCCGCGAACGGGUGAGUAACACGUGGGUAACCUAUCCCGAUGACCGGGACAACUCGAGUAAACUCGAGCUAAUAACGGAUGUUCUGGACUCUCGUAAGGGAGUUCAGCAAAGAUAGCAUCGGCCUUCGCAUCGGGACGGGCCCGCGGCCCAUUAGCUUGUUGGUGAGGUAACGGCUUACCAAGGCUUCGAUGGGUAGCUGGUCUGAGAGGACGAUCAGCCACACUGGGACUGAGACACGGCCCAGACUCCUACGGGAGGCAGCAGUGGGGAAUCUUGCGCAAUGGGCGAAAGCCUGACGCAGCAACGCCGCGUGGGGGAAGAAGGCCUUCGGGUUGUAAACCCCUUUCAGUUGGGACGAAGCUUCCAGGGUUAAUAGCCCUGUGGAGUGACGGUACCUUCAGAAGAAGCCCCGGCUAACUACGUGCCAGCAGCCGCCGUAA